GCCAGACUCCUACGGGAGGCAGCAGUGGGGGAUAUUGCACAAUGGGGGGAACCCUGAUGCAGCGACGCCGCGUGGGUGAAGGAGCGUUUCGGCGCGUAAAGCCCUAUCGGCAGGGAAGAAGGAGGACGGUACCUGACUAAGAAGCCCCGGCUAACUCCGUGCCAGCAGCCGCGGUAAUACGUAGGGGGCAAGCGUUAUCCGGAUUUACUGGGUGUAAAGGGGGCGCAGACGGCAGCGCAAGCCAGGAGUGAAAGCCCGGGGCCCAACCCCGGGACUGCUCUUGGAACUGCGCGGCUGGAGUGCAGGAGGGGCAGGCGGAAUUCCUGGUGUAGCGGUGAAAUGCGUAGAUAUCAGGAGGAACACCGGUGGCGAAGGCGGCCUGCUGGACUGCGACUGACGUUGAGGCCCGAAAGCGUGGGGAGCAAACAGGAUUAGAUACCCCAGUAUA
This 448-nucleotide ribosomal RNA is filed under the name uncultured bacterium. RNAcentral describes it as "partial 16S ribosomal RNA". It matches the Rfam family "Bacterial small subunit ribosomal RNA", at positions 330 to 794 of the family's 1533-position model. The record is from RNAcentral.